GAUGAACGCUGGCGGCGUGCCUAAUACAUGCAAGUCGAGCGAACAGACGAGAAGCUUUCUCCUCUGCCGUUAGCGGCGGACGGGCGAGUAACACGUGGAUAACCUACCUAUAAGACUGGGAUAACUACGGGAAACCGGAGCUAAUACCGGAUAAUAUAUUGAACCGCAUGGUUCAAUAGUUAAAGACGGUUUUGCUGUCACUUAUAGAUGGAUCCGCGCCGCAUUAGCUAGUUGGUAAGGUAACGGCUCACCAAGGCGACGAUGCGUAGCCGACCUGAGAGGGUGAUCGGCCACACUGGAACUGAGACACGGUCCAGACUCCUACGGGAGGCAGCAGUGGGGAAUCUUGGGCAAUGGGCGAAAGCUUGACGGAGCAAUACCGCGUGAGUGAUGAAGGUCUUCGGAUCGUAAAGCUCUGUAGUUAGGAAAGAAAAGAAGUGUGAGAAACUCUGGAUGUUUUGACGGUACCUAAAGAAAAAGCAACGGCUAACUUCGUG
This 497-nucleotide ribosomal RNA is filed under the name uncultured bacterium. Its description in RNAcentral is "partial 16S ribosomal RNA". It matches the Rfam family "Bacterial small subunit ribosomal RNA", at positions 28 to 507 of the family's 1533-position model. The record is from RNAcentral.